GACGAACGCUGGCGGCGUGCUUAACACAUGCAAGUCGAACGGAAAGGCCCUGCUUUUGUGGGGUGCUCGAGUGGCGAACGGGUGAGUAACACGUGAGUAACCUGCCCUUGACUUUGGGAUAACUUCAGGAAACUGGGGCUAAUACCGGAUAGGAGCUCCUGCUGCAUGGUGGGGGUUGGAAAGUUUCGGCGGUUGGGGAUGGACUCGCGGCUUAUCAGCUUGUUGGUGGGGUAGUGGCUUACCAAGGCUUUGACGGGUAGCCGGCCUGAGAGGGUGACCGGCCAAGUGGUGACGGAGCCACAGCCCUGCGCGUGGGGGGGGGCAGCAGGGGCGAAUAUUGCGCACGGGGAGGAAGCCUGCUGCGGCACGCCGGGGUGGGGGAUGAGGGCCUGCGGUCUGGAACCCGCAUUCGCCGAGGACGAAGCGGGAGUGCCGGUAAGGGAAAAAGAAGCACCGGCAAACUAGGCGCAAGCAGCCGCCGGAAAAGAACGAAGCGCCCACUCUGCAC
This 508-nucleotide ribosomal RNA is filed under the name uncultured bacterium. Its description in RNAcentral is "partial 16S ribosomal RNA". It matches the Rfam family "Bacterial small subunit ribosomal RNA", at positions 34 to 540 of the family's 1533-position model. The record is from RNAcentral.